AUGUUGCUUCCAUUUCCUGAUUCUUUUCCAUCUUGGAAGUCCUCUCCUGAGCAUAUUUCCUCCGUAAUAUUUCCGGUUUGCAGUUUAACCGACACACUUUCGCCGUUUCCGGUUUUUGAAGUGACGUUCCCGGACUCAGAAGUGACGUUUCCGGUUUCAGAAGUGACGUUUCCGAUCUCAGAAGUGACGUUUCCGGAUUCAGAAUUGACGUUUCCGGUUUCAGAAGUGACGUUUCCGGUUUCAGAAGUGACGUUUCCGGUCUCUUUAACAUUGUUUUCCUCUUCUGGUGCUUCGCUGUCUCGGAGGUCCCCUCCACUCCACAAUUCGUCCUCAUGAUUUUUGGCUCGUUGUACUUUUGGAACACUUCCGCUUCCGCCAUUUGCAAUUGCGUGGGCUACGUUCCUGUCGUUGAUUUCCAGUGACAACUCACUUUGUGAUGGCGCAUUGUUUCCGGUCUCUCUGUAUUUGUAUCGAGCUGAUAGAACGAGAAGUAGGACGAUAUCAAACAACAUGAGUCCAGCGUAGAACAAGAAUUGGAAGGUCUGUAACAUUCGACACAAUUUUUCAAAUUACUUAUUCAGGUCAACACAGGUUUGCUUCACAGAGAUGAAAUAAUUUUGAUUGCACGCGUGAAACUAGAGACAGGAGAUCCUCUGUCGCUAUCUUAACAAUGGUGGAAGCUUUUAUUUUCGGGAAUCGAACCUUCAACUUUUGACCUACCUACUUGAUGAGUGCGGUUAACAACGUGUUGGGGGUUUCGUUUUCCAAACAAACCGAAGUUUGGGGAAUUUGUUUGGCUCAUAUAUUGUCACCCAAAGCUCAUCAUCCACCUAGUAGAUAAGUUGACCGUUGCUCCUUUAUACUGCCGUCGUGCAAAGGAAGAACGCCGUAUGAACCUUUAGGCGUUGCCAAAUUUCCUUCGACGAAAAACGAAUUUCAUAGUAAACUUAUGAAUAUUGUUUCUAUCGUUAUCGUAUAUCGUUGUUUAUAUUGGUAAUAUCGUUU
RNAcentral lists this long non-coding RNA (1005 nucleotides) under Bemisia tabaci. RNAcentral describes it as "lncRNA ENSSSA1UGG009228". The record is from RNAcentral. Lineage: Eukaryota; Metazoa; Arthropoda; Insecta; Hemiptera; Aleyrodidae.